CCCGGAGAGUCAACCUUCCGCCCCAGAUUCAUCUAUCCCUGCUCUACCCAUCAAAAGAAAGAAAAAAAUCUAUCCCUGUUCUGUUGUGUACUGCACGGGCGUAUCGUAUCCCCAGCAUCUUCGAUUCGAUUCAGGCUCUGCCCAGCGCUGCAGAUUCAGCUGGACACAUCCACUUUGAUCCUGCUGAACAGAUGCUCCCAAUUUUUAUCCCAACUCUGGAGGAGCAGAGAGGGCCAUCAUCUCAGCUGUUUGCAAGACUGGCUCACAUAAGAGGGGGGUGAUAUCUUUAUAGGAGUAAGAAAAAUGGGCAUCGAAACCAGUAAACACGCCAAUGCUUUCCUGCCAAACACUAUGGAUUUCGGUGAACUGGAGAACAUGCUGCAAGCGCCAAGUGUCACACCAAUUUGCCUGCCGGUAGAGUUUCUGAAAGGCAUCACACGCGAUUUUUCUGUCGACCAAGAACUGGGAAGAGGUGGGUUUGGUGUGGUUUACAAGGGAAUACUUCAAAAUGGGAAAAUGAUUGCUGUGAAGAAGCUUUUUGAAAUUCGAGUAGAAGAUGAUCAAUUCCAGAAUGAGGUCACCUAUCUUAUUGGGGUUAAGCACCAAAACGUGGUACAGCUUGUAGGCUACUGCGCUGAAUCACGGUGGGAAGCGACAAAAGUAGGUGGGAGAUAUGUCAUGGCUGAGAUACGGAAGAGAUUGCUCUGCUUUGAGUAUCUAAAAAACAACAGCCUUGAUAAGCAUCUUUCUGCUGAAUCUUGUGGACUUGAGUGGCACAUAAGAUAUGAUAUAAUUAAGGGGGUUUGCAGCGGCUUGCAUUACCUUCACACGGAAUGCCGGAUUGUUCAUUUGGACCUUAAACCCCAAAAUAUAUUGCUGGAUGAUAAUAUGGUCCCCAAGCUUGCAGAUUUUGGCAUGUCUAGGCUCUUUGGCCAACAAGAGUCUCGAGUUAUCACUGAAAGUCGUGGGGGUACACUUGGAUACAUGGCACCAGAGUACAUAACAAAUGGAGUAAUCUCAACCAAGUCGGAUAUAUACAGUUUGGGCAUUAUAAUCGUUGAGCUAAUGACGGGAAGCAGGGAAUAUCCCCAUAGUAGUGAAGCACCGUUUGAGCACUUCAUUGAGAAUAUGGUUGGAAAUUGGAGGCACAUAUUGGAAAAAACAAUGGGGCAUAAAACGCAGGAAAUAUGUUCCCAACAAGUAAACAGAUGCAUUGCAUUGGGACUUAAGUGUCUUAAUCCAGAUCCCAAUGAAAGGCCCUCUGCAUGGGAUAUGUUGCAAACUCUGAAUGAAUUGGAAAGCACGAAUGGUUGUUUUGACAAGAAUGAUGGACCAGCAGUAGUAACUUACGAAUCAGAAGUAGACACAAUUUUAGGGCGGGGCGAUGUAGAUUCCAGCAAUUUAGCCGCAAAAUUCGACAGAAUAUUGAGUAGAGCAUUCGCCCCAGGUUCUGGAAACAUGAGCACUGUUUUCCGCUCUGCUCCCAAAGGAAGAAGGAUAUUGAUCCAAGCUUUUGAGGUUGCCAACACAAUUGUCAUGGCCUCUAAUCUGAUAAAAUCCCUCUCUAAACAAAGAAUAAGGCACCUGAAAGAGGGUGUGCUUAGGUCGGAAGGUGUUCGCUGUCUUAUUUCGGAAGAUUACAGUCAGCUGUCCAUUCUCAUUGAAGAUGAAAUACGAGAAGAGUUGAGACGAUUUUGUAAAGAGGUUGCCCGGUUUGGAGAUCUGUGUGAAGAUCCUCAAUGGCACAAUCUCGAUAGGUAUUUCCGCAGAUGGUUCUGCACUGACAGUGACAUCUAAGAACAACUCCAGUGAAGAAGCACCUCCCAGUUUGCAGUAUCUGAUAAAAUUGGCACAAAAUACAUGGGUUCUGCGCCAAGAAAUGCUAGCACUGGACAGACUUGAGCACGCUCAUUAUGUAGCAGCUAGUCCUGUUAAGAAACAAAUUGAUGCUGUCAAGAGCCAAAGGGGUGCGGUGAAGGUCUUAAAAAGGAAAUCACUCUGGUCGAAGAGUAUGGAAGAUAUUGUAGAGAGACUUGUAGAGAUCGUGAGCUUCAUCCAUCUUGAGAUCAACAGAGCUUUCUUGGAGAACCAUGCCGAGCAAUCAUCUGGAGAACUUCGUGUGGCUAAAAACCUCGCGAAAACGUUAGGGCCUGCUGGACUCGCGUUGCAUUACGCCAAUGUCAUUUUGCAGCUAGAAACUUUGGCAUUGGCAUCACCAGCGGUUCCUCAGAAUGCUCGGAAGGCGUUAUACCAAGCACUGCCUCCUCGGAUCAAACCAAUCCUGCAUACCCAACUGCGGCGGGGUUUUCCCCUCGGAGAAAAACAGACCAUGACGGUAGCAGAGGUGAGAGCUGAAAUGGACAGGGUAUUGCGAUGGCUUGUGCCAGCUGCGGAAUCCACGAGGUUUUACCUUGCGGAAUGGGCGAUGAAAGGGACGGAGUGUGUUGAUAUCGACGAAGCGAACUGGUUCGAACGAGACAGUCGUAUCAGCGUCGGUUCCAUGCUCGCUCAUGCAGACGCCAAAGUGAGCAAGGUAGAGACGCUGUACUACGCAAACAAGGAGACGACCGAAGGUUACAUAGCGGAGCUUGUUCUGGCUCUUCAUCUUCUUGUUUCGCUGCCUACGGACGAGAAAUAAGUCCAAGAUGAAGGUGCUGAUGAACAGUUGAGGUGAUAAGGCAGCCCCGGAUGCUUGAUUUUUCGGUCUUGCCCUCUUCAGAUGCGUCAAACAGUUGUAACGCCGAGGGAAAUGAGACGAUUCUUGUGAAGUUUCAGUUUUUAAGCAGGCUCUCGGUUGUCUCUGAGACUUACCCAAGAACUCUGUUCGCUCGGUCUUGUAUAUGUCGGCAACUAAAUGGUAACCUCACAUUUGUGCAGUUUGGUUCUCUGCAUCUGCCUACAUAUUUUGUUUUAGAUUUUUAGCACUCUUCUAUACACAAACUUUAUCUGUUACUCCCUCCGCCAUAAUAUAAGAAUGGGACGGAGGGAGUAUUUGUGAUCUGUUGUAUAAAAAAAAUACUAUGACAAGUAACCUUGGCGAGUAAACGUUGUCGUUUUUGCUCGGCCUGUUGAAAUUUAAUCUUUUAUGUGUUGG
Molecule: ribosomal RNA, 3094 nt
Filed under: Triticum aestivum (bread wheat)
Lineage: Eukaryota; Viridiplantae; Streptophyta; Magnoliopsida; Poales; Poaceae
Description: partial small subunit ribosomal RNA
Source: RNAcentral